CUGCUGCCUCCCGUAGGAGUCUGGGCCGUAUCUCAGUCCCAAUGUGGCCGGCCAACCUCUCAGUCCGGCUACUGAUCGUCGCCUUGGUAGGCCGUUACCCUACCAACUAGCUAAUCAGACGCGAGGCCAUCUCUCAGCGAUAAAUCUUUGGUAUCCAUGCCAUGCGACACAAAUACGUUAUGCGGUAUUAGCAGUCGUUUCCAACUGUUGUCCCCCACUGAAAGGCAGGUUCCUCACGCGUUACU
RNAcentral lists this ribosomal RNA (245 nucleotides) under uncultured bacterium. Its description in RNAcentral is "partial 16S ribosomal RNA". The record is from RNAcentral.